CGUGGGGAACCUGCCCCAUAGUCUGGGAUACCACUUGGAAACAGGUGCUAAUACCGGAUAAGAAAGCAGAUCGCAUGAUCAGCUUUUAAAAGGCGGCGUAAGCUGUCGCUAUGGGAUGGCCCCGCGGUGCAUUAGUUAGUUGGUAGGUAAAGGCUUACCAAGGCGAUGAUGCAUAGCCGAGUUGAGAGACUGAUCGGCCACAUUGGGACUGAGACACGGCCCAAACUCCUACGGGAGGCAGCAGCA
This 246-nucleotide ribosomal RNA is filed under the name uncultured Lactobacillus sp. RNAcentral's name for it is "partial 16S ribosomal RNA". It matches the Rfam family "Bacterial small subunit ribosomal RNA", at positions 116 to 355 of the family's 1533-position model. The record is from RNAcentral. Lineage: Bacteria; Bacillati; Bacillota; Bacilli; Lactobacillales; Lactobacillaceae.